ACUCAAAUGAAUUGACGGGGGCCCGCACAAGCAGCGGAGCGUGUGGUUUAAUUCGAUGCAACACGAAAAACCUCACCAGGGUUUGACAUGUCGGAAGUAGCGAACUGAAAAGGAAACCAACUGUUAAGCCAGUAGCCGUCACAGGUGCUGCAUGGCUGUCGUCAGCUCGUGCCGUGAGGUGUAUGGUUAAGUCCUGCAACGAGCGCAACCCUCGUGGUUAGUUGUUUUCUCUAACCAGACCGCCCCGCAAAACGGGGAGGAAGGUGGGGAUGACGUCAAGUCAGCAUGGCCUUUAUACCCUGGGCUACACACACGCUACAAUGGGUGGUACAAUGGGUAGCAACAACGCGAGUUGAAGCCAAUCCCUUAAAGCCAUCCUCAGUACAGAUUGUAGGCUGAAACUCGCCUGCAUGAAGUCGGAGUUGCUAGUAAACGCAAAUCAGCAUGUUGCGUUGAAUACGUUCUCGGGCCUUGUACACACCGCCCGU
RNAcentral lists this ribosomal RNA (488 nucleotides) under uncultured bacterium. RNAcentral describes it as "partial 16S ribosomal RNA". It matches the Rfam family "Bacterial small subunit ribosomal RNA", at positions 899 to 1397 of the family's 1533-position model. The record is from RNAcentral.